UACCCUAGCUGAAGGAAAAUGUAGAGGUCAAUGUUUUCUAAGACCUCCAUGGAAGAUAGGCAUUUAGGAUACUACAGAGGUGUGUCAUUCUCUGGUUCUACCCAUUCCCAAUACCCGAGGCUCUCCAGACUCCGCCCCCUCAACUUGACCCCACCCCAGCACGAGCUGUGAUAAAAACUUGAAGCUCUGGCCCAAGCCCUCAGGCCUUUAUUCAUAGCACCCACCUAGACUUGGGUAUCAGCUCCACCAACAAGGUCUCCCUCCACAGAAGCCGAAUCCCGGAGCUAUGUCUGAAAAGCAAAGCCCCAAGACCUCUGAAGCAGAAUGCAGUGCAAUGGACUUGCCAGAAUUCGAGGAUGAAGAAAACUGGCUUUUCAAAGUUCUGGGAUUCCAGCCUGGGCCGUCCUCUGCUCUGGAUGAUGACACCGACGAUCAGGCAGAUGAGCCACUGAGCGCUGCCGAAUUUCUUCACCUGCAAGAUAUUCUUCAGGAGGACAGAGUCAGCAGUACCGAUGAUGAGGACACUUGCCAAGCUA
This 536-nucleotide small RNA is filed under the name Mus musculus (house mouse). RNAcentral's name for it is "testes specific x-linked transcript h". The record is from RNAcentral. Lineage: Eukaryota; Metazoa; Chordata; Mammalia; Rodentia; Muridae.